RNAcentral lists this microRNA precursor (80 nucleotides) under Megaselia scalaris. RNAcentral describes it as "mir-980 microRNA precursor family". It matches the Rfam family "mir-980 microRNA precursor family". Lineage: Eukaryota; Metazoa; Arthropoda; Insecta; Diptera; Phoridae. The record is from Rfam by way of RNAcentral.
AUUUCAGACCGGCCAUUCAUCGGGCUUUGCUAACUGGUUUUUAAUGUUGUUAGCUGCCCAUUGAAGGGUCUUUUUGAAUC